Molecule: ribosomal RNA, 441 nt
Filed under: uncultured bacterium
Lineage: Bacteria
Description: bacterial SSU rRNA
Rfam family: Bacterial small subunit ribosomal RNA
Source: RNAcentral
AACGCGAAGAACCUUACCUGGGCUCGAAAUGUAGAGGACGGCAUCAGAGAAGAUGCUUCCCGAAAGGGUCUCUAUAUAGGUGCUGCAUGGCUGUCGUCAGCUCGUGCCGUGAGGUGUUUGGUUAAGUCCAGCAACGAGCGCAACCCUUAUCGUUAGUUGCCAGCGCGUAAAGGCGGGAACUCUAACGAGACUGCCUGGGUUAACCAGGAGGAAGGUGAGGAUGACGUCAAGUCCGCAUGGCCUUUAUGUCCAGGGCUACACACGUGCUACAAUGGUCGGUACAGAAGGCAGCGAAACCGUAAGGCGGAGCAAAUCCUGAAAAACCGAUCUCAGUUCAGAUUGUAGUCUGCAACUCGGCUACAUGAAGUUGGAAUUGCUAGUAAUGGCGUGUCAGCAACAACGCCGUGAAUACGUUCCCGGGCCUUGUACACACCGUACGUC